GCAAAACAAUCGAUGAUUACCCAAACCAAGAUUAGGAUACGAUAUUCAAUAAAGGGAUUUGGAUCAAAGUAGAUGGUCUUGAUAGUUGGAUAAGCUGGAUACAGUGAUAAUCAUUGACAAGGUAUGGGAAUUUCUGGUAUCGGAGCAAAUGGAAUAAAGCAUUUCAGAUCUUUUUCGUGGGAAACGAACCUCCUCAUGGUAAACAAAGCAGUCAGUAUAUAAACAAACAACGGAAAUUGAAAGUAAACUGUUGUGUUCAACCAAUAUCCAGUAACAUCACCAAGAUAAGUAUUGAUCAUCAAAUUCGGGUUAACCAUUGUAAACGCUCUUUUAACUAAAACAAGUGUCAAUAUUGUCAGGAUGGUCAGCCUUUUCAAUGAUGUUUUUUCAGAAGACGGUUUAUUUGAUGGUGCUGAUGGAUUAGUAAGGGUUUCCAAUGACACACCCUUGUUAGCAGCAUCCCGAACUUUGUCAAUCAAACUGUUGUCAAUCAAACCAAAUAGUUUUAACCAAAGUUCAUACGGAACCUUUCCACAUGGCUGAUCUUGUAAAUCAUCUUUAUCACCAAGACUUCGCCUUCCUUCGAAUUGCUGCAUCCUGGACCCUUUCAGGAUAAACAAAUUCACAAAUUAGAUGACUUGCUUGGACACUUUAAUCUUGAGCUGAGACUGAGACUGAUUCUGAACGUUUUUUGCUACUUUUAAUCACUCUCACUCUAUUUUGCUGUUCAUUUGUUUACCUUUUCGUGCACCCAUUUGUAAUCGUUAUUGUUGCCAGUUGAUGGCCAUAAUUUGAUCGAUUAAUUUCGCGCAAAACGAAAUGUGUAUCAAUCACGAGAUUAUUUCCAUUAGAUGACAGUCAUUUCUUAAUUUUACCAUACAUCAUGUUCAGUCUGUCAAAUUUACAUCCAGAGCCAAGCUGAAGCUCACUGUAAGUUUAUGAUAAUUGAUGUUUAUUUCAAUAAUUAAUGUAAAAACAGGAAGAUCAAUUGAUUUAUCUACUUAUGGUUUAUAUGGUCCAAUAUCAACUAAUGAUAGAUAAUGAAUCUUCCCUAUUACCUUGAAUUCGCAUCGAUUCUGCUCUUCUUUCCUAGAAUUGUAAUUAUCACCUUUUAAUGGCUCUAUUUUUCUUUUCAUUAGAUAAUCAAUUAGUAGGUAAUCACCAAAGUUCUGUAUAAAGAAGACAAAAUUGCUGAAAAACAUUUAUUACUAU
This is a non-coding RNA of Tetranychus urticae (two-spotted spider mite), 1212 nucleotides long. The record is from RefSeq and is a predicted model, not a curated record. Lineage: Eukaryota; Metazoa; Arthropoda; Arachnida; Trombidiformes; Tetranychidae.